RNAcentral lists this ribosomal RNA (112 nucleotides) under Caerostris darwini. The record is from RNAcentral. Lineage: Eukaryota; Metazoa; Arthropoda; Arachnida; Araneae; Araneidae.
ACGGCCGUACCAUGCUGAAUAUACCGGUUCUCGUUAGAUCACCGCAUGCUAAAACAUCAUUGGGCGCGGUCAUACUUGGGUGGGUGACCACCUGGGAGCACUGCGUGCCGUU